UCCUCGUUAGUCUAGUUGGCUAGGAUACACGGCUCUCACCCGUGAGACCCGGGUUCAAUUCCCGGACGAGGAG
Transfer RNA from Stylonychia lemnae, 73 nucleotides. It matches the Rfam family "tRNA". Rfam says of the family: Transfer RNA (tRNA) molecules are approximately 80 nucleotides in length. Lineage: Eukaryota; Ciliophora; Spirotrichea; Sporadotrichida; Oxytrichidae. The record is from Rfam.